CACAACUGUACAUCCUCCUGGGAAGCCGGAAAGGAGGAGGACUUGGAGCAGCAGGGCGUGGAUCUUAGCAGAGUGGAGCGGAGAUGGGAGAGGAAAUGUCUUCCCGUCAUUGUUCUGAUGGAAGAUGGGGAAGGUUGCCCGUGGCUCAGCAGGUAGACGUCAUUAACAGGGAGAGAAGUCCCCACCAGAGCUCGCCAACGGCCAAGUGUUACUCAUUCACCCGGCAAGAGUUCUGACAGGAGAGUCCAGUACACAGAUUGCGUUGUCCCUAUAGCAGCACAGAGAAAACCUAGAGACUCCUGGAGAAGGAAGAUGCACAAUGAGAUGGCCCUCCUCCAAAGGCUGGGGAUGAGAGUAGCACUACCUGUCAUUUUCAAUCCCUCAGAAAUGUGCAGAGGAACACAAAACGUGGGAAACUCAGGUGCAUUCGAAACAAAUGCCCAGAAAACAUUUGUUGCAGGUAACUAAAGUCAUGUGAUGUUUUUGUAACCAUGAAGAAUUAUUAUUACAGUGUGGGUACCCCCAAAUUUUAAGUCUUCUCUGUUCACAAGACAGCUGCUUCCUGACAAAUAACCUGCGACAAUUUCAUAACACGGAGUUCGGAAACCUCAUUAGACCACACGCGUGGUGCAGCUGAAGCCCUCAGUGGUUUCCGAGGGUUUGUGAAAAUGUAAUUAGGCAAACCACAGGUGUCUGCAAAUGUGGUGUUUUUGCUCCAGACGGGUGGGUGGCAUCUCGGGGGUGCCCCAGAAUUUUCACAGGGACGAAUCACUCUCAGUGUCAGCAACGUGAACAGACACCUAAGAUGGUCUUUUUGCUCUUGCAGGAGAAAGGACUGCCAAGCAGAUGGAUUAAAGGAUGAAUGAAUGCCGGCUUUGGUUGUGUCCCUGUGUGUGGCAGCAAACGCUGAUGGGAGCUGAGACACUAUUUAUGCUAUAGAAUUGGACCAGUUGUGGUCACUGACUCCUGGGCCCUUGCAGGAAAUUUCUGUAGGACUGGCUAUAGGAUCUAAGCAGAAAAUACCAUCUCACCCCUGCUAGAGGUUAUUCCCAGUGCUCCUCCCUAAAAACAACCUGUUGGCCAUUCUGAUGGCAUCGGUAGUGAGGUCUCUGAUGUAUGUUCCAUCUACUAGCUGGUGAGGCU
Long non-coding RNA from Bos indicus x Bos taurus (hybrid cattle), 1143 nucleotides. The record is from Ensembl. NCBI's taxonomy places the organism in Eukaryota, Metazoa, Chordata, Mammalia, Artiodactyla, Bovidae.